Molecule: transfer RNA, 64 nt
Filed under: Gastrophysa polygoni
Lineage: Eukaryota; Metazoa; Arthropoda; Insecta; Coleoptera; Chrysomelidae
Description: tRNA-Trp
Source: RNAcentral
AAGGAUUUAAGUUAAAAUAAACUUUUAGCCUUCAAAGCUAAAUAUAGAAAUUUUCUAAGCCUUA